GGGUGUGUAGCUCAGUUGGUAGAGCACUUGACUUUUAAUCAAGUUGUCCGGGGUUCGAACCCCCGCACGCUCACGA
This 76-nucleotide transfer RNA is filed under the name Anaerostipes sp. 992a. RNAcentral describes it as "tRNA-Lys". It matches the Rfam family "tRNA". From Rfam's summary of the family: Transfer RNA (tRNA) molecules are approximately 80 nucleotides in length. Their secondary structure includes four short double-helical elements and three loops (D, anti-codon, and T loops). Further hydrogen bonds mediate the characteristic L-shaped molecular structure. tRNAs have two regions of fundamental functional importance: the anti-codon, which is responsible for specific mRNA codon recognition, and the 3' end, to which the tRNAs corresponding amino acid is attached (by aminoacyl-tRNA synthetases). tRNAs cope with the degeneracy of the genetic code in two manners: having more than one tRNA (with a specific anti-codon) for a particular amino acid; and 'wobble' base-pairing, i.e. permitting non-standard base-pairing at the 3rd anti-codon position. Lineage: Bacteria; Bacillati; Bacillota; Clostridia; Lachnospirales; Lachnospiraceae. The record is from RNAcentral.